This 424-nucleotide ribosomal RNA is filed under the name uncultured bacterium. RNAcentral's name for it is "partial 16S ribosomal RNA". It matches the Rfam family "Bacterial small subunit ribosomal RNA", at positions 360 to 776 of the family's 1533-position model. The record is from RNAcentral.
AAUUUUGGACAAUGGGCGCAAGCCUGAUCCAGCAAUGCCGCGCGCAGGAUGAAGGCCCUCGUGUUNUCAUCUGCUUUUGUACGGAANGAAAAGUCUUUGGUUAAUACCCUUGGAUCAUGACGUUACCGUAAGUAUAAGCACCGGUGCACUUCGUGCCAUCAGCUGCGGUAAUACGUAGGGUGCAAGCGUUAUUCGGAAUUACUGUGCGUAAAGCGUGCGCAGGCGGUUUUGUAAGACAGUGGUGAAAUCCCCGGGCUCAACCUGGGAACUGCCAUUGUGACUGCAAGGCUGGAGUGCGGCAGAGGGGGAUGGAAUUCCGCGUGUAGCAGUGAAAUGCGUAGAUAUGCGGAGGAACACCGAUGGCGAAGGCAAUCCCCUGGGCCUGCACUGACGCUCAUGCACGAAAGCGUGGGGAGCAAACAGG